GAGUGGCUCUGUAUGUUAAAGAAAAUGUAGACUCAAAUGAAGUAAAAAUCUUAAAUGAAACCGCAUGUUCCAUAGAAUCUCUAUGGAUAGUAAUUCCGUGCUGUAAUAAGAAUAUAACAAUAGGGCUCUGUUAUCAAGCACCUAUCAAAGAUAAUGAUAGUGAGGAUGAAAUGCGAAGGCAGAUUAGAGAGGCUAUCAAAAUAAAGAACUCCAUAAUAAUGGGAGAUUUCGGUUAUCCCCACAUUGACUGGGUACAUGUCACCUCAGGACAAAAUGCAGAGACAAAAUUUCUGGAUACUUUAAAUGACUGCUUCAUGGAGCAGCUGGUACAAGAACCCACAAGGGGAGAAGCAACUCUCAGUUUAGUCCUGAGUGGAGCGAAGGAUCUAGUCCGUGAGGGUUUCCAGUUUCCAAACCUCAUAUAAUCUCCCAGCUGGAACAAGGAGAAGAGCCAUGGGUCCCAGACCUCCAGGGUUCAGAGGAAAGAUGGAUCCUGAGAGCUCCCUGCACAGGUCAGGAAACAUUAAACCAACUCAGAAUCUGUAAGUGCCUGAAAGAAACAUCUGGGAUGCCCUACAGAGUCCUUGGGAAGUCUCUCAGUUCAUUAUUGUCCCUAGCAGGGGUCGUAUCCUCAGGGUAAACAUAGCUCAUGGCUUCCUGUAGAUCCUAGCAGACACCAGGCCCUGGCUUCCUUCCUUCCCCCUUUGAAUUUGGAUGGGAUGUGAAGGCCCAAUUGAUCCCCUCCUCUCUCCUAUUUAGGGGAAGAGUUUGGAGGAGUUGAGUUCUUGUUUUUAUUUGACCUGUCUCCAGGACUUGUAUUGGUUUGGCCUUCCCCUUUCCAUCCCUGUUUGAGGUUUCUGUCUCUAUCACAGCAGGUGAUGCAGUGAUAGGUGAGAAAGAGGAGCAGAAUUUUCAGAAGGAAAAUGUCGAGCAAGUGGAUAAACUCAGAGCAUUUUCGCAAAGAUCGAAAAGGAAUGUGUCCAGGAGUCAUGAGCAGGGAAACUCCUUUGAGAUUCAGCACAGACCAGAAGGAGAGCAGG
This 1040-nucleotide long non-coding RNA is filed under the name Gopherus agassizii (Agassiz's desert tortoise). RNAcentral's name for it is "lncRNA (ENSGAGG00000001848.1)". The record is from RNAcentral. Lineage: Eukaryota; Metazoa; Chordata; Testudines; Testudinidae.